ACACUUUGUUUCAUAUUUCAUAUGUCAUCCCAACCUUGAGAAGCCUCUUGCGGGGAAUUGCUAUAGAAUCUUCUCCUUGUCUAAAGUUUUUGCGCAAGAAGCUAUAAGCAUAGUUGACAACAAUCUUAUUCAAAAUGGAAGAAUUUGGGUGAGCUACUACCUCUGCUUCACCUAUCAUAUAUACCACACCAUUUUCUGUUGCUUUAUCUAUAAAUUUUAUUUCCUCUUCAGGUCCUUGGAUGAUGAUAGGUUCGUAAAAAUUUGAUGAUUUUCUCACACUUGCAGGCAAUGAUCUAAUGGAAUCUGAUGAUACACCAUGACUUGGUAUAAUUCUACCAGAAGAAUUAUUUGACCUUGGUUUCACUUCUUUACCUGAUAUAUCUUGCAUUUGAUCAUUUUCAUUAAUGGCAGUAGAUACUACUAAUUGUUCACUUGUUGUAGUUGUAGCAGCACCCUCAUUAACCUCAAGCAUAAAAUCCUGUUGUUGAAUAAAUUCCUUGAGAUUUUGUAUUAAUUGUGACUCAAACUCCGCAGGAUUCCCAAGCACAUCAUUGUAACCGCGUCUUGCAACACAUCGAAAUAUUCUAUACUCUCUUGGUUCCACUUGCCGAAACAAAAACCUCUCUUCCAAAGCAACUCUAUUAACCGGAAUUGUCUUGAUAGAAACGAACACAACAAC
RNAcentral lists this long non-coding RNA (679 nucleotides) under Medicago truncatula (barrel medic). RNAcentral describes it as "long non-coding RNA (MTRU_LNC002308)". The record is from RNAcentral. Lineage: Eukaryota; Viridiplantae; Streptophyta; Magnoliopsida; Fabales; Fabaceae.